This 468-nucleotide ribosomal RNA is filed under the name uncultured bacterium. RNAcentral's name for it is "partial 16S ribosomal RNA". It matches the Rfam family "Bacterial small subunit ribosomal RNA", at positions 28 to 507 of the family's 1533-position model. The record is from RNAcentral.
GACGAACGCUGGCGGCGUGCUUAACACAUGCAAGUCGAACGGAAAGGCCCUGCUUUUGUGGGGUGCUCGAGUGGCAAACGGGUGAGUAACACGUGAGUAACCUGCCCUUGACUUUGGGAUAACUUCAGGAAACUGGGGCUAAUACCGGAUAGGAGCUCCUGCUGCAUGGUGGGGGUUGGAAAGUUUCGGCGGUUGGGGAUGGACUCGCGGCUUAUCAGCGUGUUGGUGGGGGAGUGGCUUACCAAGGCUUUGGCGGGUAGCCGGCCUGAGAGGGGGACCGGCCACAUUGGGACUGAGAUACGGCCCAGACUCCUACGGGAGGCAGCAGUGGGGAAUAUUGCACGAUGGGCGGAAGCCUGAUGCAGCAACGCCGCGUGCGGGAUGACGGCCUUCGGGUUGUAAACCGUUUUCGCCUGUGACGAAGCGUGAGUGAAGGUAAUGGGUAAAUAAGCACCGGCUAACUACGUG